CGUGUAGGCGGUCGGUCAAGUCCGAUGUGAAAGCCCGGGGCUUACCUCCGGAAGUGCAUCGGAAACUAGCCGGCUGGAGCGCGAUAGAGGAGGGUAGAAUUCCUGGUGUAGCGGUGAAAUGCGUAGAUAUCAGGAGGAAUACCGGCGGCGAAGGCGGCCCUCUGGAUCGUUGCUGACGCUGAGACGCGAAAGCGUGGGGAGCGAACAGGAUUAGAUACCCUGGUAGUCCACGCUGUAAACGAUGGGUACUAGGUGUUCGGGGUAUUGACCCCCUGAGUGCCGCAGCUAACGCAUUAAGUACCCCGCCUGGGGACUACGGCCGCAAGGUUAAA
This 332-nucleotide ribosomal RNA is filed under the name uncultured bacterium. RNAcentral describes it as "bacterial SSU rRNA". It matches the Rfam family "Bacterial small subunit ribosomal RNA", at positions 568 to 898 of the family's 1533-position model. The record is from RNAcentral.